GCGCCUGUAGCUCAGUAAGGAUAGAGCAGCGGUUUCCUAAACCGUUGGUCGCUGGUUCGAGUCCGGCCAGGCGCG
Molecule: transfer RNA, 75 nt
Filed under: Candidatus Aminicenantota bacterium
Lineage: Bacteria; Candidatus Aminicenantota
Description: tRNA-Arg
Rfam family: tRNA
About the family: Transfer RNA (tRNA) molecules are approximately 80 nucleotides in length. Their secondary structure includes four short double-helical elements and three loops (D, anti-codon, and T loops).
Source: RNAcentral